This 406-nucleotide ribosomal RNA is filed under the name uncultured bacterium. RNAcentral describes it as "partial 16S ribosomal RNA". It matches the Rfam family "Bacterial small subunit ribosomal RNA", at positions 30 to 526 of the family's 1533-position model. The record is from RNAcentral.
AUUGAACGCUGGCGGCAGGCCUAACACAUGCAAGUCGAACGAGCGGCGGACGGGUGAGUAAUGUCUGGGGAACUGCCUGAUGGAGGGGGAUAACUACUGGAAACGGUAGCUAAUACCGCAUACCAUCGGAUGUGCCCCGAUGGGAUUAGCUAGUAGGUGGGGUAACGGCUCACCUAGGCGACGAUCCCUAGCUGGUCUGAGAGGAUGACCAGCCACACUGUAACUGGGACACGGUCCAGACGCCUACGGGAGGCAGCAGUGGGGAAUAUUGCACAAUGGGCGCAAGCCUGAUGCAGCCAUGCCGCGUGUAUGAAGAAGGCCUUCGGGUUGUAAAGUACUUUCAGCGAGGAGGCGUUACUCGCAGAAGAAGCACCGGCUAACUCCGUGCCAGCCGCCGCGGUAAUUC